UUACAGACACGUGCGGCGGCGGCACGGCCGCGUGCGGCGCAGGCUGCACGUGCGGUCCGAGCUGCGCUUGCGGCGAUGGAGGCAAGCCAUGCUGCCAGGGAAAGUAAUCUCACAUCUUAGAUCUACUAAUAUUUUCUUUAUUUAAUCUAAAUAUCUAAUUAGAAGUAAUUAGAUAUAACUAUGACGUAGUAUAAUUUAUCGCAAACAUACGUAUAAUCUUUGUAACGGAAGAAAUUCUACAUUUUAUUAUUCAUAGUUCUUAGGAUGUUGUCGUCAAAAUAUAAUUGUUAGAUGGUAGUAUACGCUUAAAGUAUUAAAAAAAAAUCUUAUUACAUAAUAUUUUUAAUAUAAACUAAUGGCUAUGUAUUCCUAGGCUAGCAGAUUGCUUGUGUCUAUUUACUAGGUAUAAUAAAUUGUGUUAAUAUGUAGUUUUAUCACAUUCAGUGUAAAUUUAAUCUAUAAGAUGGGUCUUUAGUACUGCAAUACUCAUUACAUUUAAGAUUAUAAAUGUGUAAGUGCACGCACACACGCAAAGUGUAUUUAUGUACUCGUAAGAUUAUGGUUUAUUAAAGGUAAAUAAAAAGGU
Molecule: long non-coding RNA, 586 nt
Organism: Bicyclus anynana (squinting bush brown)
Lineage: Eukaryota; Metazoa; Arthropoda; Insecta; Lepidoptera; Nymphalidae
Exons: 2
Source: RefSeq, a predicted model, not a curated record